Molecule: transfer RNA, 82 nt
Filed under: Didymella exigua CBS 183.55
Lineage: Eukaryota; Fungi; Ascomycota; Dothideomycetes; Pleosporales; Didymellaceae
Rfam family: tRNA
About the family: Transfer RNA (tRNA) molecules are approximately 80 nucleotides in length. Their secondary structure includes four short double-helical elements and three loops (D, anti-codon, and T loops).
Source: Rfam by way of RNAcentral
GCCCGUUUGGCUUAGGGGUACAGCGUCUCACUCGUAUGUAUGCGACAUGAGAAGAUCCUCGGUUCGAUUCCGAGAAUGGGCA